This 497-nucleotide ribosomal RNA is filed under the name uncultured bacterium. Its description in RNAcentral is "partial 16S ribosomal RNA". It matches the Rfam family "Bacterial small subunit ribosomal RNA", at positions 28 to 507 of the family's 1533-position model. The record is from RNAcentral.
GAUGAACGCUGGCGGCGUGCCUAAUACAUGCAAGUCGAGCGAACGGACGAGAAGCUUGCUUCUCUGAUGUUAGCGGCGGACGGGUGAGUAACACGUGGAUAACCUACCUAUAAGACUGGGAUAACUUCGGGAAACCGGAGCUAAUACCGGAUAAUAUUUUGAACCGCAUGGUUCAAAAGUGAAAGACGGUCUUGCUGUCACUUAUAGAUGGAUCCGCGCUGCAUUAGCUAGUUGGUAAGGUAACGGCUUACCAAGGCAACGAUGCAUAGCCGACCUGAGAGGGUGAUCGGCCACACUGGAACUGAGACACGGUCCACACUCCUACGGUAGGCAGCAGUAGGGAAUCUUCCGCAAAGGGCGAAAGCCUGGCGGAGCAACGCCGCGUGAGUGAUGAAGGUCUUCUGAUCGUAAAACUCUGUUAUUAGGGAAGAACAUAUGUGUAAGUAACUGUGCACAUCUUGACGGUACCUAAUCAGAAAGCCACGGCUAACUACGUG